UACGGAGGAGGCAAGCGUUAUCCGGAAUUAUUGGGCGUAAAGCGUCCGUAGGUGGUUUAGUAAGUCUGCUGUUAAAGCGCGGGGCUUAACUCCGUAUCGGCAGUGGAAACUACUAGACUAGAGUGUGGUAGGGGUAGAGGGAAUUCCCAGUGUAGCGGUGAAAUGCGUAGAUAUUGGGAAGAACACCGGUGGCGAAGGCGCUCUACUGGGCCAUAACUGACACUGAUGGACGAAAACUAGGGGAGCGAAAGGG
This 253-nucleotide ribosomal RNA is filed under the name uncultured bacterium. Its description in RNAcentral is "partial 16S ribosomal RNA". It matches the Rfam family "Bacterial small subunit ribosomal RNA", at positions 524 to 776 of the family's 1533-position model. The record is from RNAcentral.